AAUGGGCGCAAGCCUGAUCCAGCCAUGCCGCGUGAGUGAUGAAGGCCUUAGGGUUGUAAAGCUCUUUCAGCAGGGAAGAUAAUGGCGGUACCUGCAGAAGAAGCCCCGGCUAACUCCGUGCCAGCAGCCGCGGUAAUACGGAGGGGGCUAGCGUUGUUCGGAUUUACUGGGCGUAAAGCGCGCGUAGGCGGCUUGCCAAGUUGGGGGUGAAAGCCCAGGGCUCAACCCUGGAAUUGCCCUCAAAACUGGCUCGCUAGAGACCGGGAGAGGUGAGUGGAAUUCCCAGUGUAGAGGUGAAAUUCGUAGAUAUUGGGAAGAACACCAGUGGCGAAGGCGGCUCACUGGACCGGUACUGACGCUGAGGCGCGAAAGCGUGGGGAGCAAACAGGAUU
RNAcentral lists this ribosomal RNA (392 nucleotides) under uncultured Gammaproteobacteria bacterium. RNAcentral's name for it is "bacterial SSU rRNA". It matches the Rfam family "Bacterial small subunit ribosomal RNA", at positions 370 to 779 of the family's 1533-position model. Lineage: Bacteria; Pseudomonadati; Pseudomonadota; Gammaproteobacteria. The record is from RNAcentral.